GAGAACGACCAUACCAACAUGACAGCACCGCUUCUAGUCUGCUCAGCGAAGUUAAGCAUGUUCGGGCCACGUUGGGAUCCCAGGUGUUGUUUUCU
Molecule: ribosomal RNA, 95 nt
Filed under: Fragilariopsis cylindrus CCMP1102
Lineage: Eukaryota; Bacillariophyta; Bacillariophyceae; Bacillariales; Bacillariaceae
Source: RNAcentral